CAGCAGUGGGGGAAGUAUUGCACAAUGGGCGGCAAGCCUGAUGCAGCGACGCCGCGUGCGGGAUGGAGGCCUUCGGGUUGUAAACCGCUUUUGUUCAAGGGCAAGGCAGGCUUUCGGGCCUGUUGAGUGGAUUGUUCGAAUAAGCACCGGCUAACUACGUGCC
Molecule: ribosomal RNA, 163 nt
Filed under: uncultured bacterium
Lineage: Bacteria
Description: partial 16S ribosomal RNA
Rfam family: Bacterial small subunit ribosomal RNA
Source: RNAcentral